Molecule: ribosomal RNA, 474 nt
Filed under: uncultured bacterium
Lineage: Bacteria
Description: bacterial SSU rRNA
Rfam family: Bacterial small subunit ribosomal RNA
Source: RNAcentral
UCGCCAGACUCCUACUUUAUGCAUCAUUGUUUAAUAUUUCACAAUUUUCUCAAUCCUUAUUCAUCCAUUCCUCUUGUAUUAAUAAUUCCUUCUUGUUGUAAAUUACUUUCAUCUGUUAUUAAGGUGCUGAUUUUAAUAACCUCAGCAAUUAACUUUACCCGCAGAAGAAGCACCGGCUAACUCCGUGCCAUCAGCCGCUGUAAUACGGAGGGUGCAAGCGUUAAUCGGAAUUACUGGGCGUAAAGCGCACGCAGGCGGUCUGUCAAGUCGGAUGUGAAAUCCCCGGGCUCAACCUGGGAACUGCAUUCGAAACUGGCAGGCUGGAGUCUUGUAGAGGGGGGUAGAAUUCCAGGUGUAGCGGUGAAAUGCGUAGAGAUCUGGAGGAAUACCGGUGGCGAAGGAGGCCCCCUGGAAAAAGACUGACGCUCAGGUGCGAAAGCGUGGGGAGCAAACAGGAUUAGAUACCCUCGUAAG